Molecule: unclassified non-coding RNA, 345 nt
Filed under: soil metagenome
Description: partial contains 5.8S ribosomal RNA, internal transcribed spacer 2, and large subunit ribosomal RNA
Rfam family: 5.8S ribosomal RNA (bases 1-120)
Source: RNAcentral
GAUGAAGAACGUAGCGAAAUGCGAUACGUAAUGUGAAUUGCAGAAUUCAGUGAAUCAUCGAGUCUUUGAACGCACAUUGCGCCCCCUGGUAUUCCGGGGGGCAUGCCUGUCCGAGCGUCAUUGCUGCCCUCAAGCACGGCUUGUGUGUUGGGCCUCCGUCCUCCUCCCGGGGGACGGGCCCGAAAGGCAGCGGCGGCACCGCGUCCGGUCCUCGAGCGUAUGGGGCUUCGUCACCCGCUCUUGUAGGCCCGGCCGGCGCUUGCCGACACAUCAAUCUUUUUUCCAGGUUGACCUCGGAUCAGGUGGGGAUACCCGCUGAACUUAAGCAUAUCAAUAAGCGGAGGA